UUGCGGAGACGUUAGCAGUUCAUUGCCGGCGACAUCGCGAGAAGUCCAUUGAACCUUAUCAUUUAGAAGAAGGAGAAGUUAUAACAGGGUUUCCAUAGGUGAACCUGCAGAAGGAUCAUUGUCGAU
This 126-nucleotide ribosomal RNA is filed under the name Julbernardia pellegriniana. RNAcentral describes it as "partial 18S ribosomal RNA". It matches the Rfam family "Eukaryotic small subunit ribosomal RNA", at positions 1715 to 1831 of the family's 1831-position model. Lineage: Eukaryota; Viridiplantae; Streptophyta; Magnoliopsida; Fabales; Fabaceae. The record is from RNAcentral. RNAcentral also lists the same sequence under 1 other name.